AGCACUGCAGCAUGAAUGAAGGGUCGGUUCGGCGCGGCCAGGAAAGUCCUUUUGGGCCGAAGGAAGGUGUGGCUGGGCACCUCUGGGCAGCCACCGCCAGUCCUCGCCCGGAGUGAAGGGGCGAGAGGUGACGGAGACGGAGGGGCUCUAGACGGCCGGCGGGACAGUCUGCAUCGCCCCUGCUGAGCGGAGGCCGCCCCGGGAAGGGGGACGCGGUCCCCGGCCUGGCACGAUCCGAGACGGCGGUGGCUGAGGUUCUCCGCGCGAGGCGUGGAGGCCGGCGGGGCGCGGGCAGUGGCCAAGUCGGGACUCCUGGGCACCUGGCGAGCGUCCCCGCGACCAGGGCGGGGACCCGGCUCCGCAGGCCGGUGCGGACCGAGCGAGGCGCGACACCGGGAGGCUCGAGUUCCCAGGCGGCAGGAAGUUGGUCCCCGGACGCCUAGGCUUCUGGGCCGCCGCUCAGCACAUGGGCCGCCUCCCCUCAGGGUCGCCCCCGCGAGGGUCGCAUCUCAGGGACGGCAGCCGCAGCUCCCGGCGGACGAGAAGGUGGGGGAGGGAGACUGGCCCGGAGGUUGGGGAGAGGCCUUGAGGCCCCGGGCUGGAUCCGCCGCAGCCUCCACCGAUCGCGGCCGAUGGGGCAAGCUCAAGCUGCGCCCGACGAGGCAGGAAACUUUCCGACCUGGUGGGGAAAACAUCAAAACAAACGGCCGUCAGGCGCCUCAGCCCGCCCGCCUCAGCCGUCGCCCCCUCCAGCCAGACCCCCGCCAGCCCACACCGCUAGGCACGACCUCCGCCGACCUCUCCGCAAGCAGGCUACGAGGAUUUGGAGCCAGGACGCCACGACGGGUCCUACCUCCCUAGCCGCCACCACCGCCUCAGCUUACCUUGCCAGCGCCGGCCGCCAUAGUGACUCUGACUGAAACCUACCCGGUGCACCGCCACGGGAACGCGCACCCUUCAAGGGCCCUCCUACCCCCUCUCCCGCGCCGUAGUCCAGGAAUGUCACGUGAACGACGCCACGGAAGCCGUGUUGGUAGAGGGCAGAAAAAAGGGCAAGGUAAUUUUUAACGGGCCUCCAGGCGCCAUCUUAGUUAAGGGCUGGAAGCUUCAAACCUCGGGACAACCUUAACGACCAUUUUGGUUAAGGGCAAGAACAAUUUGCGCCGUAGAAGGUUUUUCAAACAAACAGUGCCACCUUCUUAUUUUAUCUACUUAGCAAGGGGGUGCCAACUUUUACUAAAUUUUAUUCUGUUUAAUUCUCGAUGAAAAUACUAGCGAGCAAAAGAACAGACCCAGCCAAAGGAGAUGGUCAUUAGCAGCCAUCUUAGCUGUGGGCAACACAGUCACCCGCAGCUACCUUAAGUGUGAGCCGCCAAACUCCCUGAAGUCUUAGGAUUUGUGCACCUAACAGAAGGACCAUUCUCCCCUCUGCUAAAUUCGUUAUGUUUUCUUCCCGGAAAAAAAAAAUCUUAGUUCCCGCAUUCCAUUUCGAAUGACAGUCUUUCUCACUGAACCUAUUAUGUGCCCCCAGGGCUCCUGCGCGGAUUCUUCCACAGAAGGAGCGUCCAGAAAGUUUAAAAUCAUGUUUCUUCCAAAGAGAGAUUGAAUAAUUUCCAAAGUGAAAAAAGAGGGUAUUUCCCCCACUUACAAUAUCAAGAUGAGGAGUCAUUGGUCUAAAGAAGGAAGACUUUGCAAGGGCUAAAUGAAAACUUUAAGAAAAAAUAGUGAGAAGGAGACUUACUCAUUUAGAAUCAAAGGUGACUUCAUUCUUCAGAUUCCUGCAAUAACAGGCUCCACCACUGUGUGACCUUAAGCAAGUUUCUAAACUUUUUCAAGCCUCUUUUUUCUCAUGGAUGACAUGUUAAUAAUAGUUAAUUCACUUGAUGUGGUGAGACUUCAAAAUGUUAAUCCAUGUUGUUCAAUAAAGAGUAGCAAUUAGGCCGGGCGCGGUGGCUCACGCCUGUAAUCCCAGCACUUUGGGGGGGCCGAGGCAGGCGGAUCACCUGAGGUCGGGAGUUUGAGACCAGCCUGACCAACAUGGAGAAACCCCGUCUCUACUAAAAAUACAUAAUUAGCCGGGCGUGGUGGCGCAUGCCUGUAAUCCCAGCUACUUGGGAGGCUGAGGCAGGAGAAUCACUUGAACCCGGGAGGCGGAGGUUGCGGUGAGCCAAGAUCGCGCCAUUGCAGUCCAGCCUGGGCAACAAGAGUGAAACUGUCUCUCCAAAAAAAAAAAAAAAAAGAAAGAAAGAAAGAAAAAGUAGCAGUUAUUCAUCUCAAUACUUAUAUAGACAGUUUGGCCGUGUCCUAGGUUUUUGCUGGGCCCUGGGGACACAUAACUGAACCAAACUUCAAUUCCUGCCUUCUGAGAUCAUAACGGUAUUGUGGGUUAGAAAUGAGGGUAGGGAGUGACAAACAUGAAAUUGAUGUAAUCAGGGCUAAGAUAGAGGCAGGCACUAGCUGCCCAAGGGGUCAGGGAUGGUCUGGGAGAAGUAACUGAACUGAAUGAAGGAAGAUAGGAAAACCACAAUAAAUAUGGUAUUCGCUGAAUGGUUUCAUGAAUUUCCACAAACACGGAUAGCAAGGAAAAGAAGGAGCCUACUUGAAACAGUGCACCAAUGUGCCGGCACAUAAUAGUGGAUAAAUAAGUAUUUGAUGCAUGAAUGAAAAUUACAUACUGUUACUCAUUAUUAGAGGAUAAAGUAGGCGGGACACAAAGUGAGUCUGGAAAGAAUAGGCAUUAUAUAAUAAAGACGUUAUAUUCGUUUUUCAAGCUCUUCAUCAAUUCAACAAAUAUGUGUCAAGCUACCACUGUGUUCCAGGUAUGCUAUUCAAAAUGAGGAUAUGUUGGAAAGCUUUCUUAUGAGAGGAUGAAAAGUUUUCACUUCUGAUAACUUUUAGGCUGUUAAGGAAUAAAAUAAGAUAGGACCCUCCACAGAUCCCUAAUGAGUUUUUUUUGCACGAAUAGCAAGUCAUUUAUGCAUUCUUUCAUACAUUCAUUCUAUAAACAUUUAAUUGAUACUGUGAAAUAGAUAUUUUGAAAGGUCCUGGAAAUACAAUAAUGAAGAAACAAAAAGACUCCCUCAAGUUGCUCGAUUUAGGUGAUGACACAGAAAGAUCCUUGCUGUAAUGGAGUAUGUCAAGAGUAGUGGAAACAUGGCAGAGUAGUUUAAACUGAAACUUGAAAGGAUUAGAACAGCUAGUCUGAUGCUAUUGGGAUAAAGAAAUUUUAAGCUAAGAAGCAAUCCCAACAAAAGUCCAGAGACUUGAGAGAACAGGACUUUAAGGGAAUUGCAAGUAGGUUCGUAUCACCAGAGCAUAAGAGAUAAGGGAAAACGAGGAGAAAGAGUGACAGAAGUGAGGUUUCAGUUGCUGAAGGACUUCUAGGCAAUGCACCAGACUUCAGAACAUUUCCAUCUUCCUCCUAGAAGAUCAAAGAGAAGUAAUGAAAGUCAAGGUGCUGGAAUCAGACAUGGCAUACUUUUACCAGCACCAUAAAUGGUAAAUUAUUUAGCUUCCCUAAAUUUCAGCUUCCUUAUCUGAAAAAAAAAAAAGCAUAUAUCUACUGCACUUGACUAGUCUUUUUUUUAAAAAAAAAAAAAAGGGGUUGGGAAGGGGGAAGGAAAAAGGUAGAUAAUACCUUACAGAGUCUUCUUAGGAUUAAAUAAAACAAUGGAAUACAAAAUGCCAACCAUGGUGGCUGGGAAAUAGUAGACACUCACAGAAUGUUAAUAUUUAUCAUUAUUGCUCAUAGAAAGAAUUCCCCCAGCCUUCCACAUAUAGUAAGGAGCAAGUUGUUUUAUCUCUAGUUUGUAUAUAGAGAAACUUAAUCAUACAUAUGGAAACAAAAAAAGUCUGUUUAUAUUCAGUUCUACUAUAAUAUCUCUUAAAAUUAAUGUUAAGCAGAGUGGACUUUCUUCUACAAGAAAAGCUGGGACUACUAUAACAUGUCAGGAUAAAGAAUCCUAUCAAGCUACACAGGGUGCUAGAAAUGCCAAAAUGGCAUUGAAGGCAUUCUUCACCCACUGGUAUUCAGCAGGCACAGAAAAGGCUUAAAUUAAGAAAUCUCAUACAUGAGAUACUUUGAAUUCUAAGUCAUGUGGGUGUUCCUCUCUGUGAUUCUGUAUCCACACAAAAUUUUUAUUAAAUAAAAAACAUGUCAUAUUUUGAGAAAUUGGGAAUGGCAAUGUUUCCUGAUUUUGUAGUUCUCUCCCUUUUUAAGUUUCUGCCUUUUUAUAGUCUGAUGAGUAUUGCCACUGCUAUGAUCCAAGCCACUUUUCAAUCUUAUAAAAGCAAAGACAGACUUGUAAAAUUAUCAUCCUAGUACCAUCAAAGAUGGGCAAUUAUUAGCAUUUCUGAUGUGUAGGAGACAACUCUGUAAACUCUACUAAUAAGCAGCCCUUUCUAAUUAAUAAUGAUCUAAUUGGACUUUGACCAAUGACAUACACUUGGUAUAUAAUAAAUUAUGGAACACUUGCAUAACUGUUUCAGCAGAGUACCUGGAUUGCAAAUAUAGGUAAGCAAACCAAUUAAGAGAAAGCUGGGAGUACUCAAAGCCCAAAAUUGAGAGUAUAUAACAUUUUUAGUGGCACACACUGGCUUAUUACAACUGAAGUUAGGUCCUCUUCCCACUAAGGAAAGCUCUCUUCAUCAGGGAGAUUCUAAUGAGUGGAAAUACCCUGUCAUUUCCCAGGUGCCCAGGGUGGAGUAGCCCAGACAUUCCAGAGGCACUGCUCAUAUGUUUGUGGCUUCCUGGUUAUUCAGGAAAUAAAAGAAAAGUAACUACCUGAAGACAAAUGAAGACAUUAAGUUCAUUUAGCAACCUUUUUCUGUGAAUAUAAAAGGAGGGAAUCACAAUAUUAUAACUCCAGAAAGAAUCAUAGACAACAAAUCCAGCUUCCACAUUUUACAGGCAAGGAAAUUGAGGCUCAGAGAAGGAACUUUAAUGAUUGUGUAUUUACCAUGUGGUUAGCAUUUUCCUCAUGACAUCUCUGUGUAUUAAGUAUUAACCUUAUUUUAUAGGUAAGUAAGGAAACUAAGGCUCAGGCUCAAACAUUAAGAAAAACAUUAAGAAUCUUAAUAUUCGAUUGAGUGACUGAAAAUAAGUCACCAUGCUAGAUCCAAAGUACAUGCUGGGGUUUUUUCUUUCUAAAAAUUAUCUUUAUUUUUAUUUAUUUAUUUUUUGACAAUAUCUUGCUCUGUCACCUAGGCUGGAGUGCAAUGGCACAAUCACGGCUCACUGUAGCCUCAACCUCCCCAGCCCAACCAAUCUUUCCACCUCAGCCUCCUUAGUAGGCAUGUGCCACAGGCAUGUGCCACCGCCAUACCCAGCUAAUUUAUUUUUGUUUAUUAAUUUUUUCUUUUCUGUAUACCUCGGAUCCCCUGUGUUGCUUAGGCUGGUCUCAAACCCAUGGGCUCAAGUGAUCCUCCUGUCCGGCCUCCCAUAGUGCUGGGAUUAUAGGCAUGAGCCACCAUGCCGGCCCCGACUGAUUUUUUUGAUUGAUAAAAGAAACACAUGCUCAUUGCAUAUAUUCAGGUAAGCAAAAAUGAGGAAAGUAAAAGUCCUCUCUAGCCCCAUCACAAAUACUUAGUCUAAUGCUACUGUUAACAAUUUGUUAGCUGUAUUCUUCCAGAUGCUAUUCUAAGC
Molecule: long non-coding RNA, 5644 nt
Filed under: Homo sapiens (human)
Lineage: Eukaryota; Metazoa; Chordata; Mammalia; Primates; Hominidae
Description: non-protein coding lnc-DENND6A-3:3
Source: RNAcentral